RNAcentral lists this long non-coding RNA (1076 nucleotides) under Sorghum bicolor (sorghum). Its description in RNAcentral is "long non-coding RNA (SBIC_LNC014899)". The record is from RNAcentral. Lineage: Eukaryota; Viridiplantae; Streptophyta; Magnoliopsida; Poales; Poaceae.
UCCCAUUCUGUACUUGAAUGUAAUAUGUUGUUUUCUGCAGUUCCUAUACUUGAAUGUGUACUGCAAGUUCCUAUUUUACGAUAAAACAAGUUCCUAUUUUUCUAUAGUGACUAACACAACAUCUUUCCGUGUAGAAAAUGAGGAGCUUCAGACACCAUCGAGUAAAUGGAGUCUCUGAUGACACUGCUCCUACUGAUUCAACUGAGAAUGGGAAUGGCUCCAACAACAAUGAGAACAAUGAGAUUGCGCCAAUUGAGCAAGGAAGUCAAAGGAGGAAGAGAGGACGUACUCAGCCAAAAAUGCCUCCACCUGGCCAGCAAAUUCCUAUUAAACCCCUUGGUGAAGAGUUAGUAUAUCUUCUCUUGGUAGAAAAUUUAUUAGUGAAAAUUAUCCCUGUGUUGAGUAGUAAAAAAUUAGUAGUGAAAAUUUAUUAUGUGUUGCUGCAUCUAAGUACAGUGAUGUAGUCGUGCUCAUCUGAGUGCUACUUUGACUAAAGUGGUAAUCCCUGAGUCAUACAGAUAUAUACAUCUGAGUGCUACUUUGAGUAGGCAAUUUGAGUUUGUAAAUACUCACCUAAGAAGGAUAUGGGGAUUGGUGGUCAAGUCACAGCUCUGCUAAAGCGUGAAUACACUUCUAUGAUUGAAGAGAGUCGUUCAAAGGAGUAUUUGCAAAGACAUGGGCUCACUAUGAUAUUAUUGAAGAUGAUGACGAUAUGACUGCUGCGAAGAAUUUUGGGUAAUUCAAUUAGUUCAAUGUCACUGUUUUUAAAAUUCUAAAUAUUCUCUCUACUGCGAAUGUAGGGUUUGGUUUGUCUAAAUAUGAAAGAUGAUAUGCCUGUAUUUUGUCGAUGUAGAGCAUCUACUCAGUGGAAGAUGAUUUAAUAAUGCCACAUGCAGAAUAUGUUCUCGAUAGGCUUGCAACUAAACAGUGCAGAAAUAUGAUGUAUGAGCUUCGUGUGGAUGCUGUGAAGACAUACUAUGACAAGUUCCUUCAGCAAAGGAUAAAGGAUUCAGAGGCUUGCAAGAAAUUACUUCGUCAAGCCCAGUAUGCAAAGGUUCAGCCAGACUGGAUUUAUG